UCCUACGGGAGGCAGCAGUGGGGAAUAUUGCGCAAUGGACGAAAGUCUGACGCAGCGACGCCGCGUGGAGGAUGAAGGUUUUCGGAUCGUAAACUCCUGUCAAGAGGGAAGAAACCUAUCAUGAAUAAUACUCAUGGUAAUUGACGGUACCUCUAGAGGAAGCACCGGCUAAUUCAGUGCCAGCAGCCGCGGUAAUACUGAAGGUGCAAGCGUUAAUCGGAAUCACUGGGCGUAAAGCGCUCGUAGGUGGCUUUGUAAGUCAGGUGUGAAAGCCCACGGCUCAACCGUGGAAUUGCACUUGAUACUGCAUCGCUAGAGUAUAGGAGAGGGAAGUGGAAUUUCUGGUGUAGGAGUGAAAUCCGUAGAGAUCAGAAGGAACACCCGUGGCGAAGGCGACUUCCUGGACUAUUACUGACACUGAGGAGCGAAAGCGUGGGGAGCAAACAGGAUUAGAUACCCUGGUAGUCCACGCCGUAAACGAUGGGUACUAGGUGUUGGGGGCUUGACCCUCGGUGCCGUAGUUAACGCGUUAAGUACCCCGCCUGGGGAGUACGGUCGCAAGGCUGAAACUCAAAGAAAUUGACGGGGGCCCGCACAAGCGGUGGAGUAUGUGGUUUAAUUCGAUGCAACGCGAAGAACCUUACCCAGGCUUGACAUCCUGCGAAUGCCCAAGAAAUUAUGCAGUGCCCUUCUGGGAAUGCAGUGACAGGUGCUGCAUGGCUGUCAUCACUCAUGCCGUGAGGUGUUGGGUUAAUUCCCGCACGAG
RNAcentral lists this ribosomal RNA (766 nucleotides) under uncultured bacterium. Its description in RNAcentral is "bacterial SSU rRNA". It matches the Rfam family "Bacterial small subunit ribosomal RNA", at positions 337 to 1097 of the family's 1533-position model. The record is from RNAcentral.